UGCAAUAGUGGCGCUGGCGUCAAUAAAGGUCUAAGGUUAAGUUAGCUUAACAUUAUAUUUAAUGCUUAUUUAAAAAAUAAAUUGAUAGAUGCGUUUGAUCCUAUAAUUUUUUCAAGUGAUAUGCUUUCGUUGUGCAUAACAAAAAUGUUGAGUUAAUACCAAUUUACAGAAAAUCAUUUGCAUAACCAUAUUAUCUAUAUGUAUAUCAUAAAAUGAUAUUUUACUCAUAAUGUGUUUGUUGCGUAUUAUUCGAUAUCAACAACAUACUAUUUUUCUAUUAACUGCUAGGGAAUCGUUACGAAUUAAUCCAUCCAAAGGAAAGGGUAAUGUCGUCGUUGAAUUUAAAAGAGAUUUCAACGCCACGUUUAGGUUAUAUAUUAAACAGAUAUGCAAGAAGCAAAAGAUUCAAACAUUUACAAAGUUGGUUGAAGGACAUCAUGAACAGAUGCAGUUAUUAUAUUAAAGAUAAAUAUGAAAGAAGCAAUUAAUCGAAGUAAUAAGGCAACAAACAAUAGCGAUAGGCCGUAACCACAAUGGAAAGACUUUUUGGAAUAUUUAUACCUACAGUUAUUAAUUUCUUUGUUAAGUACUCUGAUCAUAGCAAUGUUAAAUAUUUGGAUCACAAAAAGACACCAUAAUACAAAAAUGUAUUGACAAAAAUAUUAUAAAGUAAAGGAAAUGUUUCUACAAGGAAUAUUUUGGGAAUGCUUCUGUGACCAUCAUUUGUGUUGGCACGCAUAUAUAUUGCACAAACAUUUUUAACUUUUGCUUAUAUUCACGCAAUUUCUUAUAUUAUAAAAAGAGUGGCAAUGAAAUCAAAAUGUAUUCAAAUCUAUCAUUGCGCAAGGUGGUACACUCUUCGAGAAACAGAAGUGUUUUUUAAAGUAGUUGAAUAUGCAUCUGACUUAUGAAGAUUUAGCACUUGGUAUAGGUUUUUUCUAUCACAUACAAAUUUAUUUUAAAAUGAUAUUUUGCUUUGUACAUUGUUCUUUGUUGGUCAUUUCAUGUGCAUUAGGCAAUUGACAUCCGGUUAUCUUACUUUUUGAUGCCAACUCAAUACUUAAAUAUGCUACGAUUGCCAAUGAUGGUGGUAGGAAAGACGAUAAUACAUUAGGAAGACUCUUGAAAGAACUGAAGAAAGCAUUAUCUACAGUCAAGGACGUGAAUUAUAUAGAAUGUUCUGUAAAUUGGUAUUAACUCAACAUUUUUGUUAUACACAACGAAGGCAUAUCAGUUGACAAAAUUAUAGGAUCAAGCGCAUCUAUCAAUCUAUUUUUUAAAUAAGCAUUAAAUAUAAUGUUAAGCUAACUUAACCUUAAACGUUUAAUGACAACAGCUCCACUAUUUCAUCAUGUUUGCAUUUAUAGAAGAUAUUGUUGUAUGGCUUGGAGAGUAAAAAAUAAGGGUUAGAAAAGAUUUUCUAAUUAUCUAUAAUUAACGAGAUGACGAAGCUCGGUUGCAACAAAGUACCACAAAGUUAUACAAAUUGAUUAAUUCACCGUUAGAAAGGAGAAUAAUUGGAUCAUCGCUCAGUUUAUCAUCUGUGCAAUGGACCUCACAAAGCUUGUAAUUUUUUUAUCUAUUAUAUUAAAAUAUCCAAAUUUUAAAAAUAUGAUACAGAAAUUUCAAACCUGUCUAAAUGGAUACCUUGUUAUUCCAAACUAAAUAAGAAAAUUAAUCAAUUCAAUGUGAAACCUGUAGAAAUAAAGCUCCUAAACAUGAAAACAAAAUUUGUAAUGAAAAUGUUAAUGCGUCCGCACAUAAUUAUUUUCCAUACGAAUAUCUUCUAUUCUCGAAGUUGUUACGACGAAAGUAUUAAUUUUGAACCAUUUACGUUCGGAUAUUUGUAUAUGUGUGUGUGGGUAGUUGUGUAUAUAUAUUUUCUCUUUUUCGAAAGUCGAACAUUUCCCAUCCAAUAUUACCAAAUUAUGAUACACAUUACUAUAAUUGUAAAUGACCUAUUAUUCAAUAUUUAUAAAUAUUCGACAAAGUAUUAUUCUUCCGUAAAUACUUGUAGAAACGAUGUGCAUAAAUAGAGAAAUACGUAAAUAGAUAAAUCAUUCCAAUUAUUCGAUUUAUUAAUGAUUCAUUAUUUCGCGCGUAAUAUAGAAAGCAUAAGAAUGUUCUGCAUACGCAUCUACUCAUGUGUGAGUCUAUUUUAUAUUUCUAUAUUUAUAUUAAAAUUUAAUUAGGAAAGAAAAUUUUUGUUUAUAUUAAAAAUUCGAAUUAAUUACAUUUGAUACUUUCACACAUUUUUAUUAUAUGUUUUUAUUGUUUUUAACUAAAUAAAUAUAAAAAUAAUAUUUGCAUUGACUCGCGUUAUAUCCGCAGUAAUGCGAUGUAAUGGAAUUAUAGGAGUUACUUCAGUUACCUAUUAGUGGUCCCUUAGCCAUGUUGGACGUUAUAGCAAGUUUACGUGGUAUUUCGUCGCUUCGCAUAAUUACAGAUAAUUAGUAGACUUUUUCUAACGUACACUCUCUUCCAAUUUAUCUAUCGAUAACAGCGUGAUUUUUACGGGACCGCGUUCGCAAGUCGGCACGUACUUUUGCGUAUUCUAUUUUCUUGCUUUAUUAUUGACGCUUUUUUUGACACUACUUCCUAAUCAAUAAUUUUGUGUUUAUAAUUUUGAUCGAUCGAUAUCUUGUAUUACAUUCAAUAUUCAUAUAUACUUAUAUUUAUACUGGUAUAUAUAAUAUAUGAAGUAGAAGCAUUGUUUAUUCCUAAUACGUUUGAUUUAUUUUUAUAUCUCAAAAUAAUCUGAUUAAAUAAAAUUAGAUUCAUUAUAAAUAAGCGAUGUAGAGUUUAUGCUAGUACAUAUUCUUCAUGAUCCUGGGGUAGAAAGGUCAUCGUACAAACGAUCAACAAAGAUUCCGGUUCAAUAAAAGAAGAAUCAUUUGUCAUCGUUUUGGGGCAGGAUGCUCAUCGUGCAAAGGAUCAACGAAGUCUACAAUAAGUAAAUUUCUUUUUUAAACAUUUCCUUCGCGUAGUAGAGUCAGUGCAUCGAAGAAAAUGAUCGAAAAAUAAAUACAUUUUCUUCUAUAAGAGCAUAUUGGUAA
Molecule: long non-coding RNA, 3056 nt
Organism: Vespa crabro (European hornet)
Lineage: Eukaryota; Metazoa; Arthropoda; Insecta; Hymenoptera; Vespidae
Exons: 6
Source: RefSeq, a predicted model, not a curated record